AUAGAGAUAUUAAGCGAAACUCNUAAAAGUAGUCUCAGUUCGGAUUGAAGGCUGAAAUUCGCCUUUAUGAAGCCGGAAUUGCUAGUAAUGGCAGGUCAGCAUACUGCCGUGAAUACGUUCCCGGGUCUUGUACACACCGCCCGUCACACCAUGAGAGUUGGCAAUACCCAACGUACGUGAUCUAACCCGCAAGGGAGGAAGCGUCCUAAGGUAGGGUCAGCGAUUGGGGUGAAGUCGUAACAAGGUACC
This 249-nucleotide ribosomal RNA is filed under the name uncultured bacterium. Its description in RNAcentral is "partial 16S ribosomal RNA". It matches the Rfam family "Bacterial small subunit ribosomal RNA", at positions 1254 to 1500 of the family's 1533-position model. The record is from RNAcentral.